GAUGAACGCUGGCGGCGUGCCUAAUACAUGCAAGUCGAGCGAACAGACGAGGAGCUUGCUCCUCUGACGUUAGCGGCGGACGGGUGAGUAACACGUGGAUAACCUACCUAUAAGACUGGGAUAACUUCGGGAAACCGGAGCUAAUACCGGAUAAUAUAUUGAACCGCAUGGUUCAAUAGUGAAAGACGGUUUUGCUGUCACUUAUAGAUGGAUCCGCGCCGCAUUAGCUAGUUGGUAAGGUAACGGCUUACCAAGGCGACGAUGCGUAGCCGACCUGAGAGGGUGAUCGGCCACACUGGAACUGAGACACGGUCCAGACUCCUACGGGAGGCAGCAGUAGGGAAUCUUCCGCAAUGGGCGAAAGCUUGACGGAGCAACGCCGCGUGAGUGAUGAAGGUCUUCGGAUCGUAAAACUCUGUUAUUAGGGAAGAACACAUGUGUAAGUAACUGUGCACGUCUUGACGGUACCUAAUCAGAAAGCCACGGCUAACCACGUG
RNAcentral lists this ribosomal RNA (497 nucleotides) under uncultured bacterium. Its description in RNAcentral is "partial 16S ribosomal RNA". It matches the Rfam family "Bacterial small subunit ribosomal RNA", at positions 28 to 507 of the family's 1533-position model. The record is from RNAcentral.